RNAcentral lists this ribosomal RNA (358 nucleotides) under uncultured Streptomyces sp. RNAcentral's name for it is "bacterial SSU rRNA". It matches the Rfam family "Bacterial small subunit ribosomal RNA", at positions 1037 to 1386 of the family's 1533-position model. The record is from RNAcentral. Lineage: Bacteria; Bacillati; Actinomycetota; Actinomycetes; Kitasatosporales; Streptomycetaceae.
GGUGGUGCAUGGCUGUCGUCAGCUCGUGUCGUGAGAUGUUGGGUUAAGUCCCGCAACGAGCGCAACCCUUGUCCUGUGUUGCCAGCAUGCCCUUCGGGGUGAUGGGGACUCACAGGAGACCGCCGGGGUCAACUCGGAGGAAGGUGGGGACGACGUCAAGUCAUCAUGCCCCUUAUGUCUUGGGCUGCACACGUGCUACAAUGGCAGGUACAAUGAGCUGCGAAACCGUGAGGUGGAGCGAAUCUCAAAAAGCCUGUCUCAGUUCGGAUUGGGGUCUGCAACUCGACCCCAUGAAGUCGGAGUUGCUAGUAAUCGCAGAUCAGCAUUGCUGCGGUGAAUACGUUCCCGGGCCUUGUAC